Molecule: transfer RNA, 61 nt
Filed under: Heterocephalus glaber (naked mole-rat)
Lineage: Eukaryota; Metazoa; Chordata; Mammalia; Rodentia; Bathyergidae
Rfam family: tRNA
About the family: Transfer RNA (tRNA) molecules are approximately 80 nucleotides in length. Their secondary structure includes four short double-helical elements and three loops (D, anti-codon, and T loops).
Source: Rfam by way of RNAcentral
UGUAUCUCAGUGGUAGAGUGCUUGCCUCACUUGCAUGAGACCCUAGGUUUGAUUCCUAGCA